This 601-nucleotide unclassified non-coding RNA is filed under the name Hevea brasiliensis (rubber tree). Lineage: Eukaryota; Viridiplantae; Streptophyta; Magnoliopsida; Malpighiales; Euphorbiaceae. The record is from RNAcentral.
GGAAAGUCAGGUUCGAGUUAUCUUUGGUUGAAACUGCCUUUUGCAUGUAUUUUAAGUCUGCUGCUUUUGAUUAAAUAUUUAUAGACAUUUCAUGCACUUAUUGUAAUAGAGAUACCACCGAAAUGGUUGCAUAUUUGUGGUGUUUAUUAGAAUGCCCAUGUUGAAAUAACUGAGUCCAAAGCCCCUUUCUCCCCACGUAGUUGUAGCUUUUAAGUCUUUGGAUAGGAUUGAUGUUUGAUAUUGACUAGAGAAACACCUUGUUGUACUAGGGUUCGCUUUUACUUUUAUCUGGUCGUGAUUAUUGGGAAGUUAGUUACAUGGAUGGCCAUCAUAAAACUGAAGUGUCAUUGUUUCACUCGUGUGCUAGUCAUAAAAUUAACUUUGUGGGACAUUACCUAUUACUGCCUUCUUGUUAGCAAAGCUAACCAUUUAAACUGGAUAUUAUGCUUGCAAUUUUAUAUAUUUUUUUAGCGAUUAAGAAUAUAGUAAUGGCAAUGCUAUUGAAGUAUGUAGAAUACAUAAGACAGAGAGAUCCUAUGAAGCAUUGUUCAUUGUACCCUUCUCAUUCCUUGAUUUUUAAUGUACUGGGCAGCCACACUAU